CACGCUGGACGGGGGGCGGGGCCAACUCUGCAGCGUGGGAGGCGGGGCCAGGGCAUGCUGGGCGGGGCCAGGGCGUGGGAGGCGGGGCCGGUGGCGGGGGCGCUUUUUAGCACCCCCGCUUAACAUUUAAAAAUAUCUCCGGCCGGCCCUGGCUUGGAUUGUAUUUUGAAGCUCAUGCUACCUUGUUUUCCAGGACUGAUAUGCUAGACUUUGAGCUAUUUUCUACAAAGACUUUGAAGUGUAUUCUGCAGAUUGCAUUUGCAAUUGGAUUACUGCUUUCUUUACUGCUUUUUAUUAAGAUUUUGCUAUCUUUUAUCAACAAACUGAAAAAACCAACUCUGCUGUCGUGGAGUGUGCUAAGAGCAAGGUGAACCAGUGCUGAGGUGCAACAGCUCCCAGGAUCCUAUAGCACUCAGCCAAGGCAAUUAAAGUGGUGUCAAACUGCAUUAAUUUGGCAGUGUAAAUGCAGACUGGAAGUGAUGCUUCGCUUAAGGCCAUUGUAAGCUUUUACAGACACAGCCGAUUUCCCAGGCUUGAGUGUAAUUAACAAGUUAUACAUGUUGUGAGCAGAAAAACUAUCUCUCUCUUUACUUCUUACCUUUUCCUGUAAUAUACUUUAAUAUCCAUUAGAAAAAACAUGGGAAGAACAAUACUCAGAUUUGCACUUUUUUUUUGCUUUUUUUUUUUGCUUUUUUUUUGUUUUGUAUAUGUAUAAUGUAUUUGUCAUGCCCUUUGGGUUGCAUGUUAAACUCACUCAAUUAAUCCACAAAUUGCAAUUUGAGAAGAAGAAAUCCUAGCAUGUCUGCAUCAAAGCCUAAUUGUCAGCCCUGCAAAACAUAUGGGGGAAAGGCAUCAUUUGAUGCACUUAAAAGGAAUGUAGGAUUACAGUUUAUCAUAAAUUACCCCCUCCUCCUUUUCUCCAAAAUAAUAUACAACAUUUUGUGAAACUAAUUAAUGCCUAAUUAUUUAAUCUGGUAUGGCAAACACAGCAACCGAAGGCAUGAAAUCCCCGUCGGAUUUAAAACGGCCGAUUUUCUUGUCAUCAUUUUAAGAAUGAAAUGUUAAUAUGGUUCCCUUUGCACAUCAAGAAAUGCUCCCAGGAGAUUGGCCCAGACUGGUUGCAGUUCUUAGAAGCCAAGGAAGAGAGAGUUUAAAUCUCUCUGGAUUAACUAUUUAAAGCGGGGAAAUUAUAAAAUAGGAGCAAGCCCAUUGGAUCAGAUGAAUUAAAUGAGAGAGUAAAUUGGAGAUCAAAGAUAUCCAGGGCUGAUUUAUCUAGAUGUAAGAGCAGGGCAGCUGCCCUUGGCUGGAUGCUGAGAGAUCCCCUGAGUAUUUCCAGAUGUCCUUUGGAAGACAAGCCAUGAUGGAUUGAGGGCUCUAAUGCUAACUGGGAGCCCAGCUGCUACGCUCCUUGUCAUUAAUUGCCAUCAAGUCAACGUUGACUUAUGGCAACUCCAUGAACAAGAGACCUCCAAUCUCCCUGUCCUCAACCCAUGCCUUGUAGACCAGGCAUGGGCAAACUUUGGCCCUCCGGGUGUUUUGGACUUCAACUCCCACAAUCCCUAACAGCCUCAUAAAUUGGUUAUCAGAUUGGUUAUCAUAAAUCAGAACCAAAAUAAUGUAUUCUAAGAAUCCUACUGCUUGACUAAAGUAGACUCAUUGGAUCAGUUCUACUUAGUGUUGAUGCACCAUUCAACAAUUGAUCCAUUGUUCUAAGAUGAAUCACCUAUGUCAGUAGGAACUAGAGAUGUCUAACCUUGAGAAGAUUAAAGGAGAACAUACAGUAGAGUCUCACUUAUCCAACAUUCUGGAUUAUCCAACACAUUUUUGCAGUCAAUGUUUUCAAUAUAUCAUGAUAUUUUGGUGCUAAAUUCGUAAAUACAGUAAUUACAACAUAACAUUACUGCGUAUUGAACUGCUUUUUCUGUCAAAUUUGUUGUAUAACAUAAUGUUUUGGUGCUUAAUUUGUAAAAUCAAAACUAAUUUGAUGUUUAAUAGGCUUUUCCUUAAUCCCUCCUUAUUAUCCAACAUAUUUGCUUAUCCAAUGUUCUGCCGGUCCAUUUAUGUUGGAUAAGUGAAACUCUACUGUAUUUCUUAUUGUUGUGUGCCUUCAAAUCAUUUCUGACCUAUGGUGACCCACAGGUUUUUAUUUUUUUGGAAGAUUAGUUCAGAGAGGAUUUGGUUUUGCUUUCUUCUGAGGCUGAGAGAGUAUGACUUGUUUCAGGUGAACCAGUGAGUUUAAUGGCCGAGUAGAGAUUUGAAUCCUAUUCGCUAGAGCCAGGCUAUGGCGCAGCUGGUUAGUAGCCAGCUGCAAUAAAUUACUAUUGACCGAGAGGUCACAAGAUCGAAGUCAGGUUGGAUUGAGCCCACAACUAUUAAUAGCCUAGCUCGCUGUUGACCAAAGCAGCUCAAAAGACAGUUGCAUCUGUUGAGUAGAAAAAUUAGGUACCGCUUUAUGUGGGGAGGCUAAUUUAGCUAAUUUAGGUAAAGGUUUUCCCUGACGUUAAGUCCAGUCAUGUCUGACUCUGGGGGUUGGUGCUCAUCUCCAUUUCUAAGCCGAAGAACCGGCAUUGUCCGUAGACACCUCCAAGGUCAUGUGGCCGACAUGAUUGCAUGGAGCGCUGUUACCUUCCUGCUGGAGCAGUACCUAUUGAUCUACUCACAUUGGCAUGUUUUCAAACUGCUAGGUUGGCAGAAGCUGGAGCUUACUGUGGGUGCUCACUCUGCUCCCUGGAUUUGAACCUGGGACCUUUCGGUCUGCAAAUUCAGCAGCUCAAUGCUUUAACACACUUCACCACCGGGGCUCCUUUAGCUAAUUUACGACACCAUAAAAACUUCCAACAGCGUGUGGAAAGGAAUGAGGAAGUACUAGCAUCAAGGACUCAGUGUCACAAGUGGAUGAUGAAGUGGCAGCUCCCGCUGUGGCCGGAAUCAAGCAUACCCUCAUGAAGCCAGAAGCUGGAAAAUGUUAAAUUGCCUCUGUGUCUGUCUAUAUGUCGUAUGUCUAAUGGCACUGAAUGUUUGCCAUGUAUAUGUGCAUUGUAAUCUGCCCUGAGUCCCCUUUGAGGUGUAAAUAAAAUAAAUAAUAAAUAGAGAUGUGGCACAAAGCUCAAACUGCUGCACCAUCUUGAUUCUCAAGCUGGGUUCUACACUUUCAGAAUGCAAAAUUGACUGCAUCGAACUGGAUUAUAUGGCAGUCUAGGCUCAUAUAAUCCAAAUCAAAGCAUAUAACCUGUGGCGCAACUGGCUAGUAACCAGCUGCAAUAAAUCACUACUGACUGAGAGGUCAUGAGUUCAAAGCCCGGGUUGGGUUAAGCCCCCGACCAUUAAAUAGCCCGGCUUGCUGUUGACCUAUGCAGCCCCGAAAGACAGUUGCAUCUGUCAAGUAGGGAAAUUUAGGUACGCUUUAUGCGGGAGGCUAAUUUAACUAAUUUACAACACCAUAAAACUGCCAGCAAAACACGAGGAAAGGAAUGAGGAAUUACAGCCACUAGUGGACAGUGAAGCAACAGCUCCCCCUGUGGCCGGAAUCGUGAAGCUGGAAAAAUGUUAAAUGCCUCUGUGUCUGUCUCUACUGUAUGUUGUUUGUCUGUUGGCAUUGAAUGUUUGCCAUAUAUGUGUUCAUUGUAAUCCGCCCUGAGUCCCCUUCGGGGUGAGAAGGGCGGAAUAUAAAUACAGUAAAUAAUAAUAAUAAUAAUAAUAAUAAUAAUAAUAAUAAUAAUAAUAAUAAUAACUGCAUUAUAUGGCAGUGUAGAUACAGUCCCAGAGGACAUAUCAGCACUUCUCAAAAAAUCUGAAUGUUACACAAAUGGGGAAGGUACAAGUGCAUUUAUCUCUGCUGUCAAUUGGGAAGAAAUGAUUGUUUCAACAUGAAAUGAAUGCCAAGAACAGAGUAAUAAUCCACCCAAUAUUUGGGUGGAUGGAAUGAAUAUUUCUUUCUGGGAGUCUUCAAAUCAUGUAUGAAAACGACCAAACAACCAUGACAUGAUGAUGGGGAUCCCAGAGCUUUAAACCCAGCAAAUACUGAUUCCACAACACUGCUGUCAAAUCCCCCAAUAAAAUAGAAGGGAACACUCCCGACCCUUCAUUGCCUUUUAUAUCUGAUUUGACCUGAUUUAAUGGCAGAUGCCAUCUCCGUGCCCAGUAACAGGAAGCUAUUUAUUUCAAAUUGCCCCAAACCAAAUUAUAGCUUUCCUUUCCCAGCAGAAUGAUGUAAUUUUAGCUUGCUGCCUUCUUUUUCAAUAAACUGCAGUUGCUAUGGAGACCCUCGCUGGGUCAUCUUUCCCCCUUGCAGAUCUCCAGCACAAGCAAUUGCUUUGGUGGUGGUGAUGGUGGUCUUCUCUCAUGACUGAUUGUUCUUGUGUGCAGCAACAAUGUGCAAAAAAGCAGUUCAUUUAACAGUUAAUGUCGAUUCUACCAAAAGUGGGUUGCAGCUGUGACAACAGAAUAACGUGAAGAUAAAGAUGCCUAGAUUGGAAUAGAAGGAUGGAAUCCUUCCUUCUUCAUAUGUUUUACAUUGGCUCCACUAAUAGUUGGGAGAAACCACAAAGGCCAUCCAGUCCAACCCCAUUCUGCCAUGCAGAAAGACACAACCAGAGCACUCCUGGCAGAUGUCCAUCCAGCCUCUGUUCGAAAAGCUCCAAAGAAGGAGACUCCAUCAUACUCCCAGGCAGCAUAUUUUACCGUCCAACAACGUUUACCAUCAGGAAGGUCUUCCUAAUGUUUAGAUCAGUGAUUCUCAACCUGGGCCCCCAGAUGUUUUUGAGCUACAACUCCCAGAAAUCUCAGCCAGUUUACCAGCUGGGAGUUGAAGGCCAAAAACAUCUGGGGACCCCAGGCUGAGAACCACUGGUUUAGGUGGAUUCUCUUUUCCUGCAUUGCUCUGUGUUUCAGGGUGUAUCUCUACUGUAGAAUUAAUGCAGUUUUGCACCACUUUAACUACUAUGUCUCAUCAGAGUUGUAGUUUUACAUGAUUUUUGCUAAAGAGUGCUGGUACUCACCAAACUACAAUUCUCACAAUUUCAUGGUAAUUAAAGUGGUGUUAAACUGCAUUAAUUCCAUAGUGUAUGUGCUGGUAUGGCUGUACCGGAAGCUCCAACUUUAUUUUCUUUCUGCUAAUGUUUGCAGUCAUAGGGCAGGGUGCCUGUCCAUCAUCAUUAAGUUUGGUUCCGCCCCUUGUUCAGGGCUCUGGGAGGGAAGGAGCCAUUUUUAAGUCAGUCUCACUUAAGGAAGCUAAGCUAUAGGAUGUAGACCAGCUCGUCCCAAAGAAAAGCUUCAUAUCUCAAGAACAUCCGGGGAUAUAGAACAUCCAAGGAAUCAUAAACAGAAAUUCCAGGGGAAAGGUCCCAAAGGUUCUGGCUCAGAGCUCACAGCCUCUCAGCCUCACAGCUCAUGAGGGAAACAGCCCUAAAGUUUCCAAAGAAACCUUGGAGAGGGAACAGCACCACAGAUCCACGGAACCCCAGCUGAAACAUCUGCAAGUCUUGGUUGGUAGGUCCACUCGAUACCCAGACGCAUUUGGAAUCGGUAGUGGGUCCCACAUCAGCUAGGCCCAUAUAAUAGACAGCCUGGGAGAGGUUAUAAGGGGGUUUUAGAGAAAGAACAGUUAUCCAAAGCCAAUUGUUUGUCCUCUGGGGACAAGACUGAAAAGGCCAACAGUUUAUUAAGGAAACCUUGAAGUGUUAUUUGACUCCUUGAGGAUUUAUUAUUUGUUCAAUAAUAAAGACCUUGCUAUCUCAUUAAAGACUCAAAGGACUAUCCUUUUCAGGAAAAUCCUCAAGAACCUCUCUUUGAGGCACCCUGGCUUCCCGCUGGGCAUAAAGUAUACGUCCAAUACAAAGACAAUAGUUACAGGCCCAGCGUGUGACAGAACAGUGUAGAUGCUCCCCAAUCUAGUGCAAUAGAAAACAAACUUGGCCCCUCCAUAAUAUGACAUCUUUUCAGAUAUUGAAGCAUGGCUGUCAUGCCCCCUCUUAACCUUCUCUCCAGAAUAAACAGCUCCUGAAACUUUUACCAGCAUGAAGCUCUUCCUGACAUUCAGGUGGAAUUCCUUUUCCUGAAGUCCCACUUGGGAGUUAUCUAGAGGACAGGAAAAGGUAGCUAGCACUUAGCAUCCUCAAACAGCCUCUAGGUUUCCCAAGAUUGUUGCAGUGAUGCAUGCCCUGAGACCUUGUGUCAGGAACUUGGUCUAAAAUACCAUUUUGCAGUAAUUUCUCAUAGAAUCAUAGGGUUGGAAGAGGCACACUAAGCCACUAAGCAAUGCUCUCUGGACCAUGCUCCUGAAAAUGGGAUGCCUUGAUAAAUUUGUGAACAUCCUGCGGCUCCUGCACGAUGACAUGAUGGCAACAGUCUUCGACAGCAGUGGCUCCCAAAGUGACCCAUUUAAGGUGUAAUCAAGUGUCAAACCAGGAUGUAUUAUUGCCCCAACCUUAUUCUCCAUCUUCAUUGCUAUGAUUCCACACCUUGCUGACAGGAAGCUUCCCACCAGUGUAGAAAUCACCUAUUGGACAGAUGGCAAGCAAUUUAACCUCUGUAGACUAAAAGCCAAAAUCAAUGUGUGUUAUAGAACUCCAAUAUGCUGAUGAUAAUGUAGUCUAUGUUGGUGUAUUUUUGGGUGUAAGAGUGAAAUGAUGAAUCAAGUGUUUUUACUGUUGAAGGUUUGCAACUGUGUAUUCCGGACAUGCUUUCCAGCAGCACAAGUGUUAACGGCAGGCCAGUUUGAGUGAUAGCCUGCCGAGCCAAUAGGUCGUGACUUCCAGAGGACGUUCGUCAUUCUGCUGUGGAAUGUGCAGUUGUCGACACUGAGCUUUGCUGAUCGACAAAGAGUGAGGACGUGCUUUGCUUUGCUUAGGAAAACAUGUGUCCUAUGAGGGAUAGGCUUUGUAACUUGUAAAUAGUUUGUAUAUAUAAUAAAGUCUUAGAACCGGUUGAUUAACGACUGUGGUGUCGUUUUGUCGGUGCUGCUUAUCCGGACAGGCAAGCAGUCUGACUGAGGAUGCUUUGGUGAGAGGCCUGGAUCACCAAUAAAUCAGGGGGGUGCAGAGCUGAUUUAAGCACCCCCUGUCAGUCUGUGCUCAUUCAGAACAAGGCUUGCAAGCCACUCUAAACACCUUUGCAGAAGUAUACAAAAAUCUUGGCCUCUCAUUGAACAUCAAGAAAAGCUGCUCUUCCACCUGUCGUCAGCCAAUCCCUUUGCAAUGCCAGAAAUACAGCUUAAUGGUGUAACAUCAGAAAAUGUUGACCAUUUCUUCUACCUUGGCAGCUGUGGGGAUUUGUAAAAGGCACCAUGAUGAAAUGGGUUGACUGGAAAGACAUGUGUCAGCAGCUGAUUGGAUAAGCGUGACAGGAGCCAACAUUCUGAUUGGCUACUGUCUCUGGUGUACUGAUGAGAGAAAUGGUUUGAGUGGGCACUUUCACCUCAGGGAGCAAAGAGAUAACAGCUAGGGAAUUAAUGGCUGCCGACUCUCUGAAGCCUGAUCAAUUUUAAAGCAACGAGGCAUAUUUAAAGACUGUUUUAAAAGGACUGUUUGUUCCCUCUGUUCUCUGUAAGAAAUCAGAGAGACUACUGUAUAUAUUGUUGCUCUGUUUGACCUAUUGAACUGAAAUAAAGUUACUGUUACUUAUUUCACAA
This is a long non-coding RNA of Anolis carolinensis (green anole), 7627 nucleotides long. RefSeq lists it as uncharacterized. Lineage: Eukaryota; Metazoa; Chordata; Lepidosauria; Squamata; Anolidae. The transcript is spliced from 2 exons. The record is from RefSeq and is a predicted model, not a curated record.